RNAcentral lists this ribosomal RNA (289 nucleotides) under uncultured bacterium. RNAcentral's name for it is "partial 16S ribosomal RNA". It matches the Rfam family "Bacterial small subunit ribosomal RNA", at positions 393 to 679 of the family's 1533-position model. The record is from RNAcentral.
CAUGCCGCGUGCAGGAUGAAGGCUCUUCGAGUCGUAAACUGCUUUUAUCGGGGAAGAACGGCCAGGGUGCGCCCUGGUGUAACGGUAUCCGAUGAAUAAGCACCGGCUAACUCCGUGCCAGCAGCCGCGGUAAUACGGAGGGUGCAAGCGUUGUCCGGAUUUAUUGGGUUUAAAGGGUGCGUAGGCGGGUAAUUAAGUCUGGUUUUAAAGCAGGUCGCUCAACGAUCUAAUGUGGCUGGAUACUGGUUAUCUUGAAAUUGUUGGCCGCAGCCGGAAUGGGUCAUGUAGC